Molecule: ribosomal RNA, 324 nt
Filed under: uncultured bacterium
Lineage: Bacteria
Description: bacterial SSU rRNA
Rfam family: Bacterial small subunit ribosomal RNA
Source: RNAcentral
GAUGAACGCUGGCGGCGUGCUUAACACAUGCAAGUCGAGCGAAGCGCUCACGCGGAAUUUUUCGGAAGGAAGCGGGAGUGACUUAGCGGCGGACGGGUGAGUAACGCGUGGGUAACCUGCCCCAUACCGGGGGAUAACGGUUAGAAAUGACCGCUAAUACCGCGUAAGCGCGCGAGGCCGCAUGGCCCCGGGCGAAAAACUCCGGUGGUAUGGGAUGGGCCCGCGUCUGAUUAGCUGGUUGGCGGGGUAAAGGCCCACCAAGGCGACGAUCAGUAGCCGACCUGAGAGGGUGGCCGGCCACAUUGGGACUGAGACACGGCCCAA